This 484-nucleotide ribosomal RNA is filed under the name uncultured bacterium. Its description in RNAcentral is "bacterial SSU rRNA". It matches the Rfam family "Bacterial small subunit ribosomal RNA", at positions 30 to 509 of the family's 1533-position model. The record is from RNAcentral.
AUUGAACGCUGGCGGCAUGCCUUACACAUGCAAGUCGAACGGUAACAGGGAGCUUGCUCCGCUGACGAGUGGCGAACGGGUGAGUAAUGUAUCGGAACGUACCAUUCAGUGGGGGAUAACGUAGCGAAAGUUACGCUAAUACCGCAUAUUCUGUGAGCAGGAAAGCAGGGGAUCGCAAGACCUUGCGCUGAAUUGAGCGGCCGAUAUCAGAUUAGCUAGUUGGUGAGGUAAAGGCUCACCAAGGCGACGAUCUGUAGCGGGUCUGAGAGGAUGAUCCGCCACACUGGAACUGAGACACGGUCCAGACUCCUACGGGAGGCAGCAGUGGGGAAUUUUGGACAAUGGGGGCAACCCUGAUCCAGCCAUGCCGCGUGAGUGAAGAAGGCCUGGUUGUAAGUCUUCGUCCGGGAAAAGUACGACAUCAGUAAUACCUAGUGUGGAGUGAUGGUACCGGAAGUAAGAAGACACGCGUAACUAACGUACG